UACGUAGGGUGCAGGCGUUAAUCGGAAUUACUGGGCGUAAAGCGUGCGCAGGCGGUUUCUUAAGUCAGAUGUGAAAGCCCCGGGCUCAACCUGGGAACUGCAUUUGAAACUGGCGGGCUUGAGUAUGGCAGAGGGGGGUGGAAUUCCGCGUGUAGCAGUGAAAUGCGUAGAUAUGCGGAGGAACACCGAUGGCGAAGGCAAUCCCCUGGGCCUGCACUGACGCUCAUGCACGAAAGCGUGGGGAGCAAACAGG
RNAcentral lists this ribosomal RNA (253 nucleotides) under uncultured bacterium. Its description in RNAcentral is "partial 16S ribosomal RNA". It matches the Rfam family "Bacterial small subunit ribosomal RNA", at positions 524 to 776 of the family's 1533-position model. The record is from RNAcentral.